RNAcentral lists this ribosomal RNA (906 nucleotides) under Triticum aestivum (bread wheat). RNAcentral describes it as "partial small subunit ribosomal RNA". The record is from RNAcentral. Lineage: Eukaryota; Viridiplantae; Streptophyta; Magnoliopsida; Poales; Poaceae.
AUGGCCGCGCUCGUCGGCGACGUCGCCUACUGGCUGGCGGAGCACCCGGACAUCGUCGGCUUCCGCUGGAGCCCCUCGGGCCUCUGGUUCUCCACCUGGGCCUUCCUCCUCGGCUUCCUCGCCACCUACGUGUCCCUCUGCCUCGCCGCCGACGCGCUCCUCCGCCGCCGGAAGCCGCUCCCUCUCGGGCCCCUCCCCCCCGCGCACGCGCUCCUCAUGGCCGCCGUCUCGGCCACCAUCUUCGCCGGCACGCUGCUGUCGGCGGUGGCGGAGAUUCGGGACACGCGCUGGUCGUGGCGGGGCCGGAGCCGGACGACGCCGCUCCGGUGGCUCCUCUGCUUCCCGCCGGGGACCCGCUCGUCCGGCCGCGUCUUCUUCUGGUCCUACGCCUACUACCUCUCCCGGUACCUCCACGCGGCCCGGGGCGCGUUCGCGGUGGUCAGGCGCCGGCGCGGGGCGGCCGCCCGGGUGUUCGCGCACGCCGCGUCCGUGGCCAUGGCCUUCCUGUGGCUCGAGUUCUCGCAGUCGUUCCAGGUGCUGGCCAUCCUCGCCUCCACGCUCGCCCACGCCGUCGCCUUCGGGUUCCGCUUCUGGGUCGACAGCGCGGGGCUCCCGGCGGCGCGCGCCGCCCGGAGCGGGUCGGCGCCCGUGGCGCUGGGGUGCCAGCUCGGGCUGCUGGGGUGCAACCUGGUGUGCCACGCGGGGGUGGUGUGGAUGCACUUCGGGGGCGCGAUGGCCGGCGGGUGCAGCGGCAUCGGGGCCUGGGUGGUCAACACGCUGCUCAACGCCGCGCUGCUCUGGGUGUUCCUGCACUGCUACGGCACGCGCGGCGUCUGCGACGACGACGGGGGCGCCGCCGCCGCCGCCGCCGCCUUGAAGAAGAAGAAGAAGAAGAAGGAGAUGUGA